UGGGGAAUAUUGGACAAUGGGCGCAAGCCUGAUCCAGCCAUGCCGCGUGAGUGAUGAAGGCCCUAGGGUUGUAAAGCUCUUUCACCGGUGAAGAUAAUGACGGUAACCGGAGAAGAAGCCCCGGCUAACUUCGUGCCAGCAGCCGCGGUAAUACGAAGGGGGCUAGCGUUGUUCGGAUUUACUGGGCGUAAAGCGCACGUAGGCGGACUUUUAAGUCAGGGGUGAAAUCCCGGGGCUCAACCCCGGAACUGCCUUUGAUACUGGAAGUCUUGAGUAUGGUAGAGGUGAGUGGAAUUCCGCGUGUAGAGGUGAAAUUCGUAGAUAUUCGAAGGAAAACCAGUGGCGAAGACGGCUCACUGGACCAUUACUGACGCUGAGGUGCGAAAGCGUGGGGAGCAAACAGG
This 404-nucleotide ribosomal RNA is filed under the name Actinomycetes bacterium. RNAcentral's name for it is "Actinobacteria bacterium partial 16S ribosomal RNA". It matches the Rfam family "Bacterial small subunit ribosomal RNA", at positions 355 to 776 of the family's 1533-position model. Lineage: Bacteria; Bacillati; Actinomycetota; Actinomycetes. The record is from RNAcentral.